GAUGAACGCUAGCUACAGGCUUAACACAUGCAAGUCGAGGGGCAGCAUUUCAGUUUGCUUGCAAACUGGAGAUGGCGACCGGCGCACGGGUGAGUAACACGUAUCCAACCUGCCGAUAACUCGGGGAUAGCCUUUCGAAAGAAAGAUUAAUACCCGAUGGUAUAAUCAGACCGCAUGGUCUUGUUAUUAAAGAAUUUCGGUUAUCGAUGGGGAUGCGUUCCAUUAGGCAGUUGGUGAGGUAACGGCUCACCAAACCUUCGAUGGAUAGGGGUUCUGAGAGGAAGGUCCCCCACAUUGGAACUGAGACACGGUCCAAACUCCUACGGGAGGCAGCAGUGAGGAAUAUUGGUCAAUGGGCGCAGGCCUGAACCAGCCAAGUAGCGUGAAGGAUGACUGCCCUAUGGGUUGUAAACUUCUUUUAUAUGGGAAUAAAGUUUUCCACGUGUGGAAUUUUGUAUGUACCAUAUGAAUAAGGAUCGGCUAACUCCGUGCCAGCAGCCGCGGUAAUACGGAGGAUCCGAGCGUUAUCCGGAUUUAUUGGGUUUAAAGGGAGCGUAGGUGGACAGUUAAGUCAGUUGUGAAAGUUUGCGGCUCAACCGUAAAAUUGCAGUUGAUACUGGCUGUCUUGAGUACAGUAGAGGUGGGCGGAAUUCGUGGUGUAGCGGUGAAAUGCUUAGAUAUCACGAAGAACUCCGAUUGCGAAGGCAGCUCACUGGACUGCAACUGACACUGAUGCUCGAAAGUGUGGGUAUCAAACAGGAUUAGAUACCCUGGUAGUCCACACAGUAAACGAUGAAUACUCGCUGUUUGCGAUAUACAGUAAGCGGCCAAGCGAAAGCAUUAAGUAUUCCACCUGGGGAGUACGCCGGCAACGGUGAAACUCAAAGGAAUUGACGGGGGCCCGCACAAGCGGAGGAACAUGUGGUUUAAUUCGAUGAUACGCGAGGAACCUUACCCGGGCUUAAAUUGCAUUUGAAUAUAUUGGAAACAGUAUAGCCGUAAGGCAAAUGUGAAGGUGCUGCAUGGUUGUCGUCAGCUCGUGCCGUGAGGUGUCGGCUUAAGUGCCAUAACGAGCGCAACCCUUAUCUUUAGUUACUAACAGGUCAUGCUGAGGACUCUAGAGAGACUGCCGUCGUAAGAUGUGAGGAAGGUGGGGAUGACGUCGAAUCAGCACGGCCCUUACGUCCGGGGCUACACACGUGUUACAAUGGGGGGUACAGAAGGCAGCUACCUGGUGACAGGAUGCUAAUCCCAAAAGCCUCUCUCGGUUCGGAUCGAAGUCUGCAACCCGACUUCGUGAAGCUGGAUUCGCUAGUAAUCGCGCAUCAGCCAUGGCGCGGUGAAUACGUUCCCGGGCCU
RNAcentral lists this ribosomal RNA (1359 nucleotides) under uncultured bacterium. RNAcentral describes it as "bacterial SSU rRNA". It matches the Rfam family "Bacterial small subunit ribosomal RNA", at positions 28 to 1381 of the family's 1533-position model. The record is from RNAcentral.